This 754-nucleotide long non-coding RNA is filed under the name Nicotiana benthamiana. Its description in RNAcentral is "long non-coding RNA (NBEN_LNC027934)". Lineage: Eukaryota; Viridiplantae; Streptophyta; Magnoliopsida; Solanales; Solanaceae. The record is from RNAcentral.
UCCGCAUAAAACUGGAAAUCCAUCCCAGAAGAAGAAAAGAGAAUGAAAAGACAAAGCAAGGUUUAAACAUUUCCAUCCAAAUGCAGCAGCUCAUCAACCAACAUACACAUCAUCAAUUUUCUUCCACCUUAAACAUCCAACUCAACUAAACUGACUUAAAAUCAAAAGUACAAACUGCAAAUAAUCAUUCUCAUUAUCUAUAUUAAAAAUGUGAAACCUACAAAUUUAUGUACACAAGUAGAUAGAGAGCGAGAGAGAGGACCCUGAAAAGUAGGAUUGUUGAAGGAGAAGUUAUCCAAAGGGAAAGACUAAUCAAUUUUGGCAAGCGACGACCCUUCAUACAAAUUAGAAGAUAUCCUUGUGCCUUUUCUUCUUCUUCUUCUUCUCCUAAACUUCUUCUUCUUUGAGGCUCCCAAUUUACAACUAUUCGGCCUUGACAUGCAUCCCCCCAUCUUUUUCCCUUCUUAAUUACAGCAAUUUUGUAUCACUACUUGUGAUAACUAGUAAUCUUUGUCCAUUCCCUCGUCACAGUAUCUAAUGGUGGAUCAUAAUAACAGAUAAAGUAAAUGAUUCAAAAGAUGGAAUCGACAACAACCAGAAGAAAUAUCUGAUAUCUUUUUAGAGAGAGGAAGCGUGAAGAGGUGGACAACCCACCCAUUAACUACCCCCUGUGUUCCUCUCUUCUUUAUGUGUAGUCGUAGACUAAUAGUAUAUUCUUGGAAUUAUUUUACGUGAUUUUCAGAGCUACUCCGCG